GGGUCUGUAGCUCAGCUGGGAGAGCGCUACAUUCGCAUUGUAGAGGUCAGCGGUUCGAGCCCGCUCAGAUCCACCA
Molecule: transfer RNA, 76 nt
Filed under: Chloroflexota bacterium
Lineage: Bacteria; Bacillati; Chloroflexota
Also listed under: 3 other names
Description: tRNA-Ala
Rfam family: tRNA
About the family: Transfer RNA (tRNA) molecules are approximately 80 nucleotides in length.
Source: RNAcentral